Long non-coding RNA from Triticum aestivum (bread wheat), 955 nucleotides. RefSeq lists it as uncharacterized. Lineage: Eukaryota; Viridiplantae; Streptophyta; Magnoliopsida; Poales; Poaceae. The transcript has 3 exons. The record is from RefSeq and is a predicted model, not a curated record.
UCUAACCCUUAAUCUGAGCAUCGUCUCCUCUUUGUGUUCCUCGAAAAGAAAAUAUGAGCAUCGUCUCCUCGGAUUUGACUACAAAAUUGGCAACCUGUAUCCGAUUGAAUCAACCAGUGCAUGAUGGAGAAGCCCCCUCCGCACAGCCUCUCUGCUGCAUCAUACAGAUUUUGUUGCCAUGCGGCUCGAUAGCAGGUGGCAAUGGCCGAAGUUUCUAUCAUCCACGUCAAAUUUGCACAGCCGUACUUAGCGUUGGGCGGAACAUGUACUCUGCGCUAAAGUAUCAUGAAUCGCAGUGUAGAAGAUAUCGGAUAUCCUGCAGAAGAGAAGCAAUGCUACAACCUGCUAGGAGAACUAUAGGAGUUAUAGAAUCAAGUCAAGGGAGCAACCACAGUAAUGGAAAAUAGGUAUGGGAUCUGUACAACCAACUGUUGCUAGCGGUGGCAGGCAAGGAAGAUCCCUAUUGCGCCUCUGGCUGCUACGGCGACGUGAGAAGGAGAGUAAGGAACAACAUCUACGGAGGAUUGCACGGGAACGAUGGAAACGUGCAGAUGCCUAUGCAAGUCCAAGUUGGUCGCCCACCAGCACAAUACUGUCCCAACUAAAGAGAGCUUAUGCCAAAUAUAUUUUGUGAACCAUUAAGGUGAGCAGCACAUGAAAAUAACAGAAGGAGAAGCAACCGAAGUCCUAAAUUCCAUUGCAACGACCGGACGACCGAAACACUAGGACAUGGAAACGACCAAGCAGAAAGCUACAGGAGGAGUUCAUGCUAAAUAUGCCUCUGAACGAGAGGGUCUAGAGUUGUAGCUAAUGUUCUUUCUUCCCAGUUUUGUUACAGAAAGGUUGGCGUAAUAGCACCCAAAAUCCUACCAGCAGUACCUAUUCGAUAAAUUUGUCGAAUUUAGUUGUUGUAGUACCUGAUUAUGAAAACAACAAGAAAAAUCAGCAGAAGAAU